Molecule: long non-coding RNA, 414 nt
Filed under: Gossypium barbadense (sea-island cotton)
Lineage: Eukaryota; Viridiplantae; Streptophyta; Magnoliopsida; Malvales; Malvaceae
Description: long non-coding RNA (GBAR_LNC000305)
Source: RNAcentral
GAUGUCUCUUGGAGCUAUUAUAACCACUAGCAACCCCCUCAACACGUCUCGUGAAUUCGCGGUACAAAUGGCUGAUUCAAAGCCCGUCCUCGUCUUCACCACUUCUCAAGUCGUCCCAAAAUUGGCUGGAUCACCUCUCCCCAUCGUACUUCUCGACGAGCAAGUGGCGACCGAAAAAACAGGCCAAGUCAAAAUAGUUACUACUAUUAGUGAAAUGUUAAAGAAGGAAACAAAGGACAAGAUCCGAGUGAGGGAUCGAGUGUACCAAGAUGACGCGGCAACUCUACUCUAUUCCUCGGGCACGACGGGUGCCAGCAAGGGAGUAAUAUCAUCUCACGGAAACCUCAUGGCUCUAAUGCAAAGUUUUUCACAUUUGAGCAAUCCAGACGAAGGGGAGCAAACCCAUAUCUGCGC